Long non-coding RNA from Piliocolobus tephrosceles (Ugandan red Colobus), 2640 nucleotides. RefSeq lists it as uncharacterized. The record is from RefSeq and is a predicted model, not a curated record. NCBI's taxonomy places the organism in Eukaryota, Metazoa, Chordata, Mammalia, Primates, Cercopithecidae. The transcript has 2 exons.
UGGGUCUUCCAAUACUGUUUUUCAUAGAAGCAGUGAAAAUGUGCAUUGUUGCUUUGUUGCUGAGAGAUAUUACAAAAACAUAUCUUUGGUCUUUCAGAUUGCAUAAGAUAUUAGUUGUAGGAUUUUCAUAGAUGGUCUUUACUAUGUUGAGGUAGUUUCCUUCUAUUCAUAGUUUGUUGAGUGUUUUUACCACGAAAGGGUGUGGAGUUUUGUGAAAUGAUUUUCUGUAGCCGGGGUCUUACUGCAUUACAUUUGAAAAAGCCACUCUGCUUCACACCCACCCCUACCCCCAUCAUUAUAUGCCUAGUGUUAGAGAGGAAUAAAUAUUUUGUGUUUUCCAGGGGAAAAGAGCCAGUCCAUGAGAAACACAGCAGUGGUCACCCAUGUGAGGGGAUGGGGGAGCAGGUUAGGCCCUCAUUGGUACAACUGUGGACUCUGCUUCAACCAUAGUAGCUGUUACUUCUGUAUAGGUGUUGACUGGGAUGGAGCUACCCCUGUUACCCUGGACUCAGACAUGGGCAAGGGGUCCAGGAAAAACAGAGGAAUGGACCAGAAUCAGAAGCAAUAAGGUGAGGGGACUAGGCUCAGACUCCUGUGAGUAGUUUGGGGUGACUAUUAUAGCAGGUGACCCCAAAGUUGGUGGCAGUGGUGAUGAGUCUCAAAGAAGCCAGUUUCUGCCUCACUCUGACCUCCUACUGCUGAUGGCCCCCCUUCCUGUAGAUUGAUCAGGAAUGACUCUUUCAUAACUCCCAAAUUUAGAAGACCAGCUUGAUUUCUAUGGGUGGCCUCAGAGUAUCCAUUAAUGGGUUUUAGAUGAAAGGAAAAGGUGUACAAUUGUUUCUUCAUGCAAAUCAGCCCCCUCUUCUUGUCUGCCAGCCCCUUCAUAGAACCUCAGUCCAGACAGUCACUAGAAUACAUUUCCCAGCUGGGGUGGAGAAGGCCAAAUUGGCUGAAUCUGGUUCCCUGUGAGGACACAGCUGCUGACCCCAGUGAGCAGUGAGCAGAUGAUACAGGGUCACAGCAGGAUGGUUUCCCAGUUGUUCUUAUCUGUUGACCCCUCAAGGACAAGCCUACAGCACAUAGUGCUGCCCCAGUAGCAGACCUACUGAGCCCUUCAGUUGCUCUCUGCCUUUGUCUUUUUCUUCUGCAUGAAAGAUAUGAGUGUAAAGGCCUUUGUUGAGCUGUAUUUGUGGUCAUUGCUCUGCACAGAAUUCCUGUAUCAUUACAUGUCUGUUUGGUUCAUGCUGUUAUUUUUAGUAAAGUCCUGGGAUUUUAGUCUCACUGAAGGAGAUUCUCUGACGGACAUCAGAGCAGAGAGCCCAGUUUGGUGAUGGAGAAGCCAGCAGAAUUGCAGGCCUGUGGCCGGAGAUGUCUCCUUCCCCACACAACAGUGUGGCGCCUUUUCAGACUGCCAAGUUCUCUCCUGGAAGCUCUGGGCUCUCAGGGUGGGCCUCUCCCUACUCUCAGCCCACCCACCUUCAGCAUCAAAAGGUCCCUAGAGUUUGGUGUCUCACUGGAUGUUGCGGGGAGUCAGGGACCCCUAAUGGAGGGAACAGUUGGAGCCACGGCGGAGAAACAUAAAUUGUGAAGAUUUCAUGAACAUUGAUCAGUUCCCAAAAUUAAUACUUUUAUAAUUUCUUAUGCCUGUCUUUACUUUAAUCUCUUAAUCUUAUUAUCUUCAUAAGCUCAGAAUGUAUAUCACCUCAGGACCACUAUUGUAUAAACUGAUUGUAAAAUAUGUGUGUUUGAACAAUAUGAAAUCAGUGCACCUUGAAAAAGAACAGAAUAACGUGAUUUUCAGGGUACAAAUAAAGACAACUGUAAGGUCUGACUGCAUGUGGAGUGGGGCAGAAUGGAGCCAUAUUUUUCUUCUUGCAGAGAACCCAUACACAGACAUGCAAGUAGGGGAGAUAUGGCUGAAUUCUUUUCCAAACAAGGAAUAUUAAUAAUUAAUACCCUGGGGAAGGAAUGAAUUCCUGGGGGAAUGUCUAUAAACAGCUGCUCUGGGAGUGUCUGUCUUCUGCAGUUGAGAUAAGGACUGACACUUAGGGAAAAUAAAAGGAACCUACAUUGAAAUAAUGGGGAUGUGUUCCCCCAAUAACUGGACAAAGGGAGAGCCAUGCUGAGCUCUUCUAUUUCUUACUUAUUUGCCCCUGGCUUAAGCCACACUGUAUGGGAACCGAGUAGUCCCCUUGCAUCUGGUUUUGAAAGGCUUAUGAGGUUUCUCAUCCAGAUCUCUGGCUGCAGCAACCCCAGCAGAGGUCCUGAGUCUGCACACUUGAAGAAUAAUAGAAAGAAGAAUUAUGGAAGUGAGUAGGCAUUAUUGAUUGGGAAUCUUAUAUCAUUUAUUUACUGCUGACUUGUUUUCUUGAGGGUAGCUGUGUUAGAGAAGCUCUGUCUCUGAGGUUCAUCUCACAGAACUGGCAUCAGUAAGAGGAGGUCAGCCCCAACACUCCAUCUUCCAAGUCUUGAAUCCUAUGAGGACUUGACAGAUAAACUACAGGGCACCCAGAAUCCUACCUCCAGGCUACAAGCACUCCCUCUCUAACCAGGGCCUACUGCAUGGAAAGCAAUCACGAAGUGGUUGUCAGGAUUCAAUGAGGUCACACUCUCAGGAAUUAAAAAAUGUUGGUCAAUAGU